RNAcentral lists this ribosomal RNA (1459 nucleotides) under uncultured organism. RNAcentral's name for it is "SSU rRNA". It matches the Rfam family "Bacterial small subunit ribosomal RNA". The record is from RNAcentral.
GCUGGCGGCAGGCCUAACACAUGCAAGUCGAACGGUAACAGGAAGCAGCUUGCUGCUUUGCUGACGAGUGGCGGACGGGUGAGUAAUGUCUGGGAAACUGCCUGAUGGAGGGGGAUAACUACUGGAAACGGUAGCUAAUACCGCAUAAUGUCGCAAGACCAAAGAGGGGGACCUUCGGGCCUCUUGCCAUCGGAUGUGCCCAGAUGGGAUUAGCUAGUAGGUGGGGUAAAGGCUCACCUAGGCGACGAUCCCUAGCUGGUCUGAGAGGAUGACCAGCCACACUGGAACUGAGACACGGUCCAGACUCCUACGGGAGGCAGCAGUGGGGAAUAUUGCACAAUGGGCGCAAGCCUGAUGCAGCCAUGCCGCGUGUAUGAAGAAGGCCUUCGGGUUGUAAAGUACUUUCAGCGGGGAGGAAGGGAGUAAAGUUAAUACCUUUGCUCAUUGACGUUACCCGCAGAAGAAGCACCGGCUAACUCCGUGCCAGCAGCCGCGGUAAUACGGAGGGUGCAAGCGUUAAUCGGAAUUACUGGGCGUAAAGCGCACGCAGGCGGUUUGUUAAGUCAGAUGUGAAAUCCCCGGGGCUCAACCUGGGAACUGCAUCUGAUACUGGCAAGCUUGAGUCCUCGUAGAGGGGGGUAGAAUUCCAGGUGUAGCGGUGAAAUGCGUAGAGAUCUGGAGGAAUACCGGUGGCGAAGGCGGCCCCCUGGACGAAGACUGACGCUCAGGUGCGAAAGCGUGGGGAGCAAACAGGAUUAGAUACCCUGGUAGUCCACGCCGUAAACGAUGUCGACUUGGAGGUUGUGCCCUUGAGGCGUGGCUUCCGGAGCUAACGCGUUAAGUCGACCGCCUGGGGAGUACGGCCGCAAGGUUAAAACUCAAAUGAAUUGACGGGGGCCCGCACAAGCGGUGGAGCAUGUGGUUUAAUUCGAUGCAACGCGAAGAACCUUACCUGGUCUUGACAUCCACGGAAGUUUUCAGAGAUGAGAAUGUGCCUUCGGGAACCGUGAGACAGGUGCUGCAUGGCUGUCGUCAGCUCGUGUUGUGAAAUGUUGGGUUAAGUCCCGCAACGAGCGCAACCCUUAUCCUUUGCUGCCAGCGGUCCGGCCGGGAACUCAAAGGAGACUGCCAGUGAUAAACUGGAGGAAGGUGGGGAUGACGUCAAGUCAUCAUGGCCCUUACGACCAGGGCUACACACGUGCUACAAUGGCGCAUACAAAGAGAAGCGAUCUCGCGAGAGCAAGCGGACCUCAUAAAGUGCGUCGUAGUCCGGAUUGGAGUCUGCAACUCGACUCCAUGAAGUCGGAAUCGCUAGUAAUCGUGGAUCAGAAUGCCACGGUGAAUACGUUCCCGGGCCUUGUACACACCGCCCGUCACACCAUGGGAGUGGGUUGCAAAAGAAGUAGGUAGCUUAACCUUCGGGAGGGGGCUUACCACUUUGUGAUUCAUGACUGGGGUG